Molecule: ribosomal RNA, 254 nt
Filed under: uncultured bacterium
Lineage: Bacteria
Description: partial 16S ribosomal RNA
Rfam family: Bacterial small subunit ribosomal RNA
Source: RNAcentral
GACGAACCGUGCGAACGUUAUUCGGAAUCACUGGGCUUAAAGCGCGUGUAGGCGGGUCGGCGCGUCGGACGCUGAAAUCCCCCGGCUCAACCGGGGAAGGGGCGCCGAUACGGCCGGCCUGGAGGGACGUAGGGGGGGCUGGAACUUCCGGUGGAGCGGUGAAAUGCGUUGAGAUCGGAAGGAACGCCCGUGGCGAAAGCGAGCCCCUGGACGUCUACUGACGCUGAGACGCGAAAGCCAGGGGAGCGAACGGG